CCAGACUCCUACGGGAGGCAGCAGUGGGGAAUAUUGCACAAUGGGGGGAACCCUGAUGCAGCGACGCCGCGUGAAGGAAGAAGUAUCUCGGUAUGUAAACUUCUAUCAGCAGGGAAGAAAGAGGACGGUACCUGACUAAGAAGCCCCGGCUAACUACGUGCCAGCAGCCGCGGUAAUACGUAGGGGGCGAGCGUUAUCCGGAUUUACUGGGUGUAAAGGGAGCGUAGACGGCCAUGCAAGCUCGGUGUGAAAGGUGCGGGCACAACCCGCAGACUGCACUGAGAACUGUAUGGCUGGAGUGCCGGAGGGGCAGGCGGAAUUCCUGGUGUAGCGGUGAAAUGCGUAGAUAUCAGGAGGAACACCGGUGGCGAAGGCGGCCUGCUGGACGGCGACUGACGUUGAGGCUCGAAAGCGUGGGGAGCGAACAGGAUUAGAUACCCCUGUA
This 445-nucleotide ribosomal RNA is filed under the name uncultured bacterium. Its description in RNAcentral is "bacterial SSU rRNA". It matches the Rfam family "Bacterial small subunit ribosomal RNA", at positions 331 to 792 of the family's 1533-position model. The record is from RNAcentral.